GUGACCCACAAGCGGUCCAACUUCAAGCCGGGCCGCGGUGGCCGCGGUGCUGGCCGUGGUCGUGGCCGUAGCGGUGCUGAGCCGUUCCAGGCGCUCGCCACCUUCAUGACCAUGCUUGGAGCCGCCAGCGGCUACCGCGGCCGUGGAGGUCGCGGAAGCGGUGCUCGCGGUGGCGGCGGUGCGCGUGGAGGUGGUGGUCGCGGCGGCGGCCUGAGUGGCGGUGCACCGAAGCCACAAAGCGGCAAUCCGUCCGGCGGCUUUCAGCCAUACCAGUAAGUCAUGGGCAAGACGUGUGUGAAGAAAGCGGAAGGGGCGGGGCACGGUGAGGCAAAACAUAUCCGUAUGCGCAAGACGGGAACUCGAAGCCAAUGUCUCGUACCGCAGAGUGGGGCGGUGGGUUGGAAUCAUGUGAGAAUUGAGGGCCAGUAGGCGAACCAGUGCGAGUGUGUGUGUGUGUGUGUGUGUGUGUGGAUUGGCGGGUGUCUUGAGGGUGCAUAAGUGGCGCAAGUCGAGGAAGAGAAGAGCAGUGAUCAUUGGCCGAGAAGGAAGCGGGUACAGUUGUGUAUUGUGCCAGCCUUCUGCGCCACCUCCCUCCCUCUCCCACUCUCCUCUAAGCCGCCUCUUCGUCUAUCCUCUUUUGUGGAAGCAUCAUCACACACAGACACACGUGCUCGCAUGUCCACCAGCUUGCCCGAGGUGGCCUCGCCUACCCAUUCACCACCAACACCCCUUCCUCCCUCUCCCCCGCCCCUUUCGCGACAUCGCUGCGACCGCCAGUUUCAAUAGACACGCAAGCACGCACGACAUACAUGCAAGAACUCGCACAUGUGCACACACCCAUAAGCGUGUACUCCAUCUCGGUGCGAGUGUAUGCCGUGGCUUCUCCGUGAUGAUCUCUCUCUCUCUUUCUCUCGUGUAUCUUUGUAAGUCGGCGUUCAUGUCCAUGUGCGUGGGUGUGCCCCGCCGUCUGUACACACCUCUAUAAGCGUGCGCGUGUCUGCAGAAUGGUGUUUGAUUGAGUAUUAACAGAAGAGGGAAGAAC
RNAcentral lists this unclassified non-coding RNA (1042 nucleotides) under Leishmania donovani. Its description in RNAcentral is "gene:unknown". Lineage: Eukaryota; Euglenozoa; Kinetoplastea; Trypanosomatida; Trypanosomatidae. The record is from RNAcentral.